This 495-nucleotide ribosomal RNA is filed under the name uncultured bacterium. RNAcentral describes it as "partial 16S ribosomal RNA". It matches the Rfam family "Bacterial small subunit ribosomal RNA", at positions 28 to 507 of the family's 1533-position model. The record is from RNAcentral.
GACGAACGCUGGCGGCGUGCCUAAUACAUGCAAGUAGAACGCUGAAGGAGGAGCUUGCUUCUCUGGAUGAGUUGCGAACGGGUGAGUAACGCGUAGGUAACCUGCCUGGUAGCGGGGGAUAACUAUUGGAAACCAUAGCUAAUACCGCAUAAGAGUAGAUGUUGCAUGACAUUUGCUUAAAAGGUGCAAUUGCAUCACUACCAGAUGGACCUGCGUUGUAUUAGCUAGUUGGUGGGGUAACGGCUCACCAAGGCGACGAUACAUAGCCGACCUGAGAGGGUGAUCGGCCACACUGGGACUGAGACACGGCCCAGACUCCUACGGGAGGCAGCAGUAGGGAAUCUUCGGCAAUGGACGGAAGUCUGACCGAGCAACGCCGCGUGAGUGAAGAAGGUUUUCGGAUCGUAAAGCUCUGUUGUAAGAGAAGAACGAGUGUGAGAGUGGAAAGUUCACACUGUGACGGUAUCUUACCAGAAAGGGACGGCUAACUACGUG